RNAcentral lists this unclassified non-coding RNA (278 nucleotides) under Hevea brasiliensis (rubber tree). The record is from RNAcentral. Lineage: Eukaryota; Viridiplantae; Streptophyta; Magnoliopsida; Malpighiales; Euphorbiaceae.
AUCGGGCAGCGCCGAGAUCGUGCGCUAUCGCGCCGAGUCCAUUCGACGCGACGACCUUUGCCGCACGGCAAGCGCGGAAGCCGCGCGCGCCUUCGAGAACAACGCCUUCUUCCUCAACUCCAGCGCGGAGGCAUGAACCAUGACGAUUCACACCGUUCCGGUUCAGGGCCGCAUCGUUCUCGACACCGAAAUUCCCGCCAAUUCUCCGUGGUCCGUCGUGAUUCGCAAAGGACAGACGUUGCGUAUCAUCGACAGCCAUGGCCAGCAGGCGGUCGAUA